RNAcentral lists this long non-coding RNA (219 nucleotides) under Mytilus galloprovincialis (Mediterranean mussel). Lineage: Eukaryota; Metazoa; Mollusca; Bivalvia; Mytilida; Mytilidae. The record is from RNAcentral.
CGCUUAUAUGGUCAUCUGAGGUCAAAUCGAUAGUUAAUUAGAUGGCGUCUGGACUAAAAUACACACGAAACGAACCUAUAUAUUAUCUACGCCAUGCUCUGUAAACUGUUUAUUUGAGACUUUUGAUAGUUUGGAUAAAUGUUUUACAUUGUUAUAAAUCAAAUAUGAGAAUUUGAGUCAAAUCGGUGAUCAUGAAUUUGACAGCUAGUGCCCCUUUAA